Molecule: ribosomal RNA, 500 nt
Filed under: uncultured bacterium
Lineage: Bacteria
Description: partial 16S ribosomal RNA
Rfam family: Bacterial small subunit ribosomal RNA
Source: RNAcentral
AUUGAACGCUGGCGGCAGGCCUAACACAUGCAAGUCGAGCGGAUGACGGGAGCUUGCUCCUUGAUUCAGCGGCGGACGGGUGAGUAAUGCCUAGGAAUCUGCCUGGUAGUGGGGGACAACGUUUCGAAAGGAACGCUAAUACCGCAUACGUCCUACGGGAGAAAGCAGGGGACCUUCGGCCCUUGCGCUUUCGUAUGAGCCUAGGUCGGAUUAGCUAGUUGGUGGGGUAAUGGCUCACCAAGGCGACGAUCCGUAACUGGUCUGAGAGGAUGAUCAGUCACACUGGAACUGAGACACGGUCCAGACUCCUACGGGAGGCAGCAGUGGGGAAUAUUGGACAAUGGGCGAAAGCCUGAUCCAGCCAUGCCGCGUGUGUGAAGAAGGUCUUCGGAUUGUAAAGCACUUUAAGUUGGGAGGAAGGGCAGUAAGUUAAUACCUUGCUGUUUUGACGUUACCGACAGAAUAAGCACCGGCUAACUCUGUGCCAGCCGCCGCGGUAA